RNAcentral lists this ribosomal RNA (279 nucleotides) under uncultured bacterium. Its description in RNAcentral is "partial 16S ribosomal RNA". It matches the Rfam family "Bacterial small subunit ribosomal RNA", at positions 506 to 784 of the family's 1533-position model. The record is from RNAcentral.
UGCCAGCCGCCGCGGUAACACGGGGGGCGCAAGCGUUAUUCGGAAUCAUUGGGCGUAAAGGGCGCGCAGGCGGCCAGUUAAGUCAGAUGUGAAAUCCCGGGGCUCAACCCCGGAAGUGCAUUUGAAACUAAUUGGCUUGAGUAUGGGAGAGGGAAGUGGAAUUCCUGGUGUAGCGGUGAAAUGCGUAGAUAUCAGGAGGAACACCGGUGGCGAAGGCGACUUCCUGGACCAAUACUGACGCUGAGGCGCGAAGGCGUGGGGAGCAAACGGGAUUAGAUA